Molecule: ribosomal RNA, 253 nt
Filed under: uncultured bacterium
Lineage: Bacteria
Description: partial 16S ribosomal RNA
Rfam family: Bacterial small subunit ribosomal RNA
Source: RNAcentral
UACAGAGGGUGCGAGCGUUAAUCGGAAUUACUGGGCGUAAAGCGCGCGUAGGCGGCUUUGCAAGUCGGGUGUGAAAGCCCCAGGCUUAACCUGGGAACUGCAUUCGAGACUGCAUUGCUAGAGUAUGGGAGAGGGAAGUGGAAUUUCCGGUGUAGCGGUGAAAUGCGUAGAUAUCGGAAGGAACAUCAGUGGCGAAAGCGACUUCCUGGACCAAUACUGACGCUCAUGUGCGAAAGCGUGGGGAGCAAACAGG